This 335-nucleotide unclassified non-coding RNA is filed under the name soil metagenome. RNAcentral's name for it is "partial contains 5.8S ribosomal RNA, internal transcribed spacer 2, and large subunit ribosomal RNA". The stretch from base 1 to 120 matches the Rfam family "5.8S ribosomal RNA", at positions 35 to 154 of the family's 154-position model. The record is from RNAcentral.
GAUGAAGAACGUAGCGAAAUGCGAUAAGUAAUGUGAAUUACAGAAUUCAGUGAAUCAUCGAAUCUUUGAACGCACAUUGCGCCCGCCAGUAUUCUGGCGGGCAUGCCUGUUCGAGCGUCAUUUCAACCAUCAAGCCCCCGGCUUGUGUUGGGGACCUGCGGCUGCCGCAGGCCCUGAAAAGCAGUGGCGGGCUCGCUGUCACACCGAGCGUAGUAGCAUACAUCUCGCUCUGGGCGUGCUGCGGGUUCCGGCCGUUAAACCACCUUCAUAACCCAAGGUUGACCUCGGAUCAGGUAGGAAGACCCGCUGAACUUAAGCAUAUCAAUAAGCGGAGG